Molecule: long non-coding RNA, 236 nt
Filed under: Linum usitatissimum (flax)
Lineage: Eukaryota; Viridiplantae; Streptophyta; Magnoliopsida; Malpighiales; Linaceae
Description: long non-coding RNA (LUSI_LNC000444)
Source: RNAcentral
GACUCCAACAAAGCUGAAAUAGAACAAAUCGACACAGACAAACAAAUACAGAAUCAAUGUGAGAAACAAAGCAAAAUGGAACACAGAAUUAUCAAUCAGUUGCUUGGUGGUGGGGUGAGGGAAGGAAUGGCUGGGAUGGAGGGCAUGGGAGCCAAAGUUGCCUUGGGGAUGCUUGGGAGUGGGGGCAGUGUAGUAAUUGUAGGGAGCGUAGGUAAUGUUGGCUGGGGAAGACUAGG